RNAcentral lists this ribosomal RNA (838 nucleotides) under Fusarium vanleeuwenii. RNAcentral's name for it is "partial large subunit ribosomal RNA". It matches the Rfam family "Eukaryotic large subunit ribosomal RNA", at positions 69 to 937 of the family's 3401-position model. Lineage: Eukaryota; Fungi; Ascomycota; Sordariomycetes; Hypocreales; Nectriaceae. The record is from RNAcentral.
CAGGGAUUGCCCUAGUAACGGCGAGUGAAGCGGCAACAGCUCAAAUUUGAAAUCUGGCUCUCGGGCCCGAGUUGUAAUUUGUAGAGGAUACUUUUGAUGCGGUGCCAUUCCGAGUUCCUGGAACGGGACGCCAUAGAGGGUGAGAGCCCCGUCUGGUUGGAUGCCAAAUCUCUGUAAAGUUCCUUCAACGAGUCGAGUAGUUUGGGAAUGCUGCUCUAAAUGGGAGGUAUAUGUCUUCUAAAGCUAAAUACCGGCCAGAGACCGAUAGCGCACAAGUAGAGUGAUCGAAAGAUGAAAAGCACUUUGAAAAGAGAGUUAAAAAGUACGUGAAAUUGUUGAAAGGGAAGCGUUUAUGACCAGACUUGGGCUUGGUUAAUCAUCUGGGGUUCUCCCCAGUGCACUUUUCCAGUCCAGGCCAGCAUCAGUUUUCCCCGGGGGAUAAAGGCGGCGGGAAUGUGGCUCUCUUCGGGGAGUGUUAUAGCCCGUCGUGUAAUACCCUGGGGGGGACUGAGGUUCGCGCAUCUGCAAGGAUGCUGGCGUAAUGGUCAUCAACGACCCGUCUUGAAACACGGACCAAGGAGUCGUCUUCGUAUGCGAGUGUUCGGGUGUCAAACCCCUACGCGUAAUGAAAGUGAACGCAGGUGAGAGCUUCGGCGCAUCAUCGACCGAUCCUGAUGUUCUCGGAUGGAUUUGAGUAAGAGCAUACGGGGCCGGACCCGAAAGAAGGUGAACUAUGCCUGUAUAGGGUGAAGCCAGAGGAAACUCUGGUGGAGGCUCGCAGCGGUUCUGACGUGCAAAUCGAUCGUCAAAUAUGGGCAUGGGGGCGAAAGACUAAUCG